RNAcentral lists this ribosomal RNA (785 nucleotides) under uncultured bacterium. RNAcentral's name for it is "bacterial SSU rRNA". It matches the Rfam family "Bacterial small subunit ribosomal RNA", at positions 8 to 796 of the family's 1533-position model. The record is from RNAcentral.
AGAGUUUGAUCCUGGCUCAGAACGAACGCUGGCGGCGUGCUUAACACAUGCAAGUCGAGUGCGCGCCUGUAGCAAUACAGGUGGCGCACGGCGCACGGGUGCGUAACACGUGGGUAAUCUGCCCUCUGAUGGGGAAUAACUCGCCGAAAGGCGAGCUAAUUCCGCAUAAUAUUCCGAAAAGUUCGCUUUUUGGACUGAAAGGCGUAAGUCGUCGGAGGAGGAGCCCGCGCACGAUUAGCUAGUUGGUAGGGUAAUGGCCUACCAAGGCUUUGAUCGUUAGCUGGUCUGAGAGGAUGGCCAGCCACACUGGAACUGAGACACGGUCCAGACUCCUACGGGAGGCAGCAGUGGGGAAUCUUGCACAAUGGGCGAAAGCCUGAUGCAGCGACGCCGCGUGGGGGAUGAAGCUUCUCGGAGUGUAAACCCCUUUCGAUCCGGACGAAUGCCUCGCAAGAGGAGUGACGGUACGGAUAUAAGAAGCCCCGGCUAACUACGUGCCAGCAGCCGCGGUAAACGUAGGGGGCCAGCGUUGUUCGGAAUUACUGGGUGUAAAGGGUUCGUAGGCGGUGUGGCAAGUCGGGAGUGAAAUCUCUGGGCUCAACCCAGAGACUGCUUCCGAAACUGCUGUGCUUGAGUGUGAGAGAGGCUCGUGGAAUUGCAGGUGUAGCGGUGAAAUGCGUAGAUAUCUGCAGGAACACCCGUGGCGAAAGCGGCGAGCUGGAUCACUACUGACGCUGAGGAACGAAAGCUAGGGGAGCAAACAGGAUUAGAUACCCUAGUAGUCC